GUACUGAUGAAGAGUCCCAGAAUAGGACGAAAUGGUUGUCCAGUAC
RNAcentral lists this non-coding RNA (46 nucleotides) under Trichobilharzia regenti. The record is from RNAcentral. Lineage: Eukaryota; Metazoa; Platyhelminthes; Trematoda; Strigeidida; Schistosomatidae.